AUACUUACCUGGCAGGGGAAAUGUCACGAUCAUGCAGGUGGCUUUCCCAGGGCGAGGAGUGCUCAUUGCACUUGGGACACGCUGACCUCUGCGAUUUCCUCACAUGGAGGAAACUCGGCUGCAUAAUUUUUGAGUGGGGGACUGCGUGCGCGCUCUCCCCUG
Small nuclear RNA from Dipodomys spectabilis (banner-tailed kangaroo rat), 162 nucleotides. RefSeq annotates it as U1 spliceosomal RNA. The record is from RefSeq and is a predicted model, not a curated record. The transcript has a single exon. NCBI's taxonomy places the organism in Eukaryota, Metazoa, Chordata, Mammalia, Rodentia, Heteromyidae.